Molecule: long non-coding RNA, 704 nt
Filed under: Gallus gallus (chicken)
Lineage: Eukaryota; Metazoa; Chordata; Aves; Galliformes; Phasianidae
Source: RNAcentral
GCGGGGGUCCAAUUCCCCCACUGCCACCACUCCCCCCCACCCCCCUGAGCGUCCCUGCAUCCCAGCACCCCCCACCCCAAAGGGACAUCACAGCAACCGCCCCAUAGGGACACAGAAACAGCCAUCGGGACCCCCACCCCAAAAACGCACAGAUCCGGGCUAUGUCUGCGCCGCUGUUUAAUGUCCCCAUCGCUCCUCUCACGGCUCUUUGCCGUCCCCCCUCUGUUCGCUGGAAGCUCCGCCGCUCUCAGCGCGGCCCCCCGAGCCAUCGGUGCGGCCCCUCCGGGACGUGGGGUCUCCCCCUGAGGCGCUGCUCGUGUCCUCCGGGGCUGCCACGGCGUCAAUGGCGGCGUGCUCCUUCCUCACCAGCUCCUGCAGCUCCUUCUUCCAGCCCAGCAGCUCUGCCAGUGCCAGGCAGCCCUCAUCGCAGUCCCCCAGCCAGGCCACGUCCCUGGGAGGGGGGGGCAGAGGAAUAUGGGGGCACAGAGAUGGGGGGAGACAAAGUACGUGGGGAAAGGGGGCAUAUGGGGGGGGGGAAGGUGGGGGGCAGCCCCUCAGUGACCCCCUAAAAUACAAGGAAAGGCCACAGACCUCGGUUUCUCAUGCACACCUCUACCUCAGCUGCAGCGCACGGGGACCCUAUGUAUGCCCCCACCCCUCAUCCCCAGGUCCUUCUGUGCCCCCAAAGUCCCCCCAGGCCCCCC